CCUCUAGAGAUUUUCGCAAUGCCCGAAAGGGUGACGAAGCGACGCCGCGUGGAUGAAGAAGGCCUUCGGGUUGUAAAAUCCUGUCAGGAGUUAAGAAAUGUAGGUGCGAUAAUAUCGUGCCUAUUUGACAAAGGCUCCAAAGGAAGCCACGGCUAACUCUGUGCCAGCAGCCGCGGUAAUACAGAGGUGGCAAGCGUUGUUCGGAAUUAUUGGGCGUAAAGAGCACGUAGGUGGAUUUGUUAGUCAGAUGUGAAAGCCUUUCGUUCAACGGAAGAAUUGCAUCUGAAACUACAAACCUUGAGUAUAGGAGGGGAGAGUGGAGCUUCUGGUGGAGCGGUGAAAUGCGUAGAUAUCAGAAGGAACGCCGGCGGCGAAAGCGACUCUCUGGCCUAUAACUGACACUGAGUGUGCGAAAGCUAGGGGAGCAAACGGGAUUAGAUACCCCGGUAGUCCUAGCCGUAACGAUGGGCACUAAGUAGAGGGGUUUU
RNAcentral lists this ribosomal RNA (488 nucleotides) under uncultured anaerobic ammonium-oxidizing bacterium. RNAcentral describes it as "bacterial SSU rRNA". It matches the Rfam family "Bacterial small subunit ribosomal RNA", at positions 353 to 832 of the family's 1533-position model. The record is from RNAcentral.